This 317-nucleotide unclassified non-coding RNA is filed under the name Hevea brasiliensis (rubber tree). The record is from RNAcentral. Lineage: Eukaryota; Viridiplantae; Streptophyta; Magnoliopsida; Malpighiales; Euphorbiaceae.
CUCUUCUAAUCAAAAUUAGCAGGUAUGUCCAAUUCUGUAUCUGAAGGGUUACCAAGCUCAGCCAGGGGCUCCUGCUCAUCAUCAUCUGCCGAAGAGUGGACAACUCCCAUUGGCAAAGUGCUAGUAAGAUCUUCAGUAGCUUCUUGCAAAACUACUUCUGGAUUAACAGAGGGAUUGUUGGAUCCUUCAGUUACAGCUUUAGAAGGAUCUUCAGGAGUUCCAUGUUCAUCCUGGUUGCCUGAAAAUUCUCCNNNNNGACAUCAAUCGGGGUUUCGGGUUCAAUUUGUUCUGGAGGAACAUUCCUUCCUCCUUUGCGG